AUGGCGCCCCGCGGCGCCCUGUUUCUGCUCGCGCUCCUCGCCGUCGCCGUCGCCGUCGCGGUGGAGGCGCACGACGCGUCGGCCGAGGAGCCGCCGCGCCCGCUGGUCAUCCAGCUGCCCACGGAGCGGGCCGAGGAUGUGGAGCUGCGGUGCGCGAGCUGGAGGACGGCGGGGGAGGCCAACAACCUGGCGCCGUGGGCGGCCGUGCCGGAGGACUGCGUGCCGCACGUGCGCGCAUACCUCACCGGCCCCGCCUACCGCUCCGACCUCGACCUCGUCGCAAGGGAGGCCUCCGCCUACGCCCGCGCCACAGCCGCCGCCGCCGCCGCCACCGGCACAAACCAAGCCACCGCCGGCGCCUGGGUCUUCGACAUCGACGAGACGCUGCUCUCCAACCUCCCCUACUACGCGCAGCACGGAUACGGGCUGGAGCUGUUCGACCACCGGGAGUUCGACCGGUGGGUGGAGACGGGGGAGGCGCCGGCGAUCCCCUCCAGCCUCCGCCUCUACAGGGAGGUGCGCGACCUGGGAUUCAAGACCUUCCUGCUCACCGGCCGCAGCGAGGCCCACCAGGCCGUCACCGUCGACAACCUCAGGAGACAGGGCUUCCACGACUGGGACAAGCUCAUACUCAGGGCAGCAGCCGACCGGGAGAAAACGGCGACGGACUACAAGUCGGAGAAGAGGAAGGAGAUGGAGGCGGAGGGGUACAAGAUCCUGGGCAACUCGGGCGACCAGUGGAGCGACCUGCUGGGCUACUCCAUGAGCGCCCGCUCCUUCAAGCUCCCCAACCCAAUGUACUACAUCCCCUGA
This 813-nucleotide ribosomal RNA is filed under the name Triticum aestivum (bread wheat). RNAcentral's name for it is "partial small subunit ribosomal RNA". Lineage: Eukaryota; Viridiplantae; Streptophyta; Magnoliopsida; Poales; Poaceae. The record is from RNAcentral.